UCGGGCGGACAUGAAGUGGCGAACGGGUGAGUAACACGUGACCAACCUGCCCCUUGCUCCGGGACAACCUUGGGAAACCGAGGCUAAUACCGGAUACUCCUCGCCCCCCUCCCUGGGGGGGCCCGGGGAAAGCCCAGACGGCAAGGGAUGGGGUCGCGGCCCAUUAGGUAGUAGGCGGGGUAACGGCCCACCUAGCCCGCGAUGGGUAGCCGGGUUGAGAGACCGACCGGCCACAUUGGGACUGAGAUACGGCCCAGACUCCUACGGGAGGCAGCAUG
Molecule: ribosomal RNA, 278 nt
Filed under: uncultured bacterium
Lineage: Bacteria
Description: partial 16S ribosomal RNA
Rfam family: Bacterial small subunit ribosomal RNA
Source: RNAcentral